Molecule: microRNA precursor, 205 nt
Organism: Oryza sativa Indica Group (long-grained rice)
Lineage: Eukaryota; Viridiplantae; Streptophyta; Magnoliopsida; Poales; Poaceae
Rfam family: MIR812 microRNA precursor family
Source: Rfam
AAAAAAAAAAAACAUAGGUUUCCGUGUUAACGUUUGACCGUCCGUCUUAUUUAAAAAAAAUAUAAAAAAAAUAAAAAGACAAGUCGCACAUAAAGUAUUAAUCAUGUUUUAUCAUCUAAUAACCAUGAAAAUACUAAUUAUAAAAAAAUUUCAUAUAAGACGGACAAUCAAACGUUGGACACGGAAACCUAGGGUUUGUCUUUUU